This 546-nucleotide ribosomal RNA is filed under the name uncultured bacterium. Its description in RNAcentral is "partial 16S ribosomal RNA". It matches the Rfam family "Bacterial small subunit ribosomal RNA", at positions 355 to 894 of the family's 1533-position model. The record is from RNAcentral.
UGGGGAAUUUUGGACAAUGGGCGAAAGCCUGAUCCAGCAAUGCCGCGUGUGUGAAGAAGGCCUUCGGGUUGUAAAGCACUUUUGUCCGGAAAGAAAUCCUUGGCUCUAAUACAGUCGGGGGAUGACGGUACCGGAAGAAUAAGCACCGGCUAACUACGUGCCAGCAGCCGCGGUAAUACGUAGGGUGCAAGCGUUAAUCGGAAUUACUGGGCGUAAAGCGUGCGCAGGCGGUUUGCUAAGACCGAUGUGAAAUCCCCGGGCUCAACCUGGGAACUGCAUUGGUGACUGGCAGGCUAGAGUAUGGCAGAGGGGGGUAGAAUUCCACGUGUAGCAGUGAAAUGCGUAGAGAUGUGGAGGAAUNCCGAUGGCGAAGGCAGCCCCCUGGGCCAAUACUGACGCUCAUGCACGAAAGCGUGGGGAGCAAACAGGAUUAGAUACCCUGGUAGUCCACGCCCUAAACGAUGUCAACUAGUUGUUGGGGAUUCAUUUCCUUAGUAACGUAGCUAACGCGUGAAGUUGACCGCCUGGGGAGUACGGUCGCAAGAU